UACGUAGGGUGCGAGCGUUAAUCGGAAUUACUGGGCGUAAAGCGUGCGCAGGCGGUUCGUUGUGUCCGUCGUGAAAGCCCCGGGCUUAACCUGGGAACUGCGAUGGAAACUAGCGAGCUGGAGUGUGGCAGAGGGGGGUGGAAUUCCCGGUGUAGUGGUGAAAUGCGUAGAUAUCGGGAGGAACACCAGUGGCGAAGGCGACUACCUGGCCUGUUCUUGACGCUGAGGCGCGAAAGCUAGGGGAGCAAACGGG
This 253-nucleotide ribosomal RNA is filed under the name uncultured bacterium. Its description in RNAcentral is "partial 16S ribosomal RNA". It matches the Rfam family "Bacterial small subunit ribosomal RNA", at positions 524 to 776 of the family's 1533-position model. The record is from RNAcentral.